This 492-nucleotide ribosomal RNA is filed under the name uncultured bacterium. RNAcentral describes it as "partial 16S ribosomal RNA". It matches the Rfam family "Bacterial small subunit ribosomal RNA", at positions 29 to 507 of the family's 1533-position model. The record is from RNAcentral.
AGUGAACGCUGGCGGUAGGCCUAACACAUGCAAGUCGAACGGCAGCACAGUAAGAGCUUGCUCUUACGGGUGGCGAGUGGCGGACGGGUGAGGAAUACAUCGGAAUCUACUUUUUCGUGGGGGAUAACGUAGGGAAACUUACGCUAAUACCGCAUACGACCUACGGGUGAAAGCAGGGGAUCUUCGGACCUUGCGCGAUUGAAUGAGCCGAUGUCGGAUUAGCUAGUUGGCGGGGUAAAGGCCCACCAAGGCGACGAUCCGUAGCUGGUCUGAGAGGAUGGUCAGCCACACUGGAACUGAGACACGGUCCAGACUCCUACGGGAGGCAGCAGUGGGGAAUAUUGGACAAUGGGCGCAAGCCUGAUCCAGCCAUACCGCGUGGGUGAAGAAGGCCUUCGGGUUGUAAAGCCCUUUUGUUGGGAAAGAAAAGCAGCAGGUUAAUACCCCGCUGUUCUGACGGUACCCAAAGAAUAAGCACCGGCCAACUUCGUG